Drosophila mojavensis is the source of this 934-nucleotide long non-coding RNA. RefSeq lists it as uncharacterized. Lineage: Eukaryota; Metazoa; Arthropoda; Insecta; Diptera; Drosophilidae. The transcript is spliced from 3 exons. The record is from RefSeq and is a predicted model, not a curated record.
UUUCACUUUCUUUCAGCAUGCAGCAGCCACACAUGUGUACAUACAUAUCUUUAGCGGCAUCUCUAUCUAACACACUUGUGUGUGCAUGUGUGCGUGUAUAUUUUAAUUCGAUCAAAUUAACAAUGUGACGAGCAUGGCUGGAAAAAGUGAAAUGGCGCACAUUUUGAGUGCUACAAGGGUAACCUCAAGGGUUUUCAAAGUCAGCCCAUGAGCAGAUUCACUUUCGUUUUCUUUAUUGUUACAAAAUAUCAGCAGCUCUCUAUAGACAAUCUACUCACACACACGCACACCGACGUACUUGUGUACAUAUUUAGUGUUUUAAUUUGCAUAGUUGUUGGCAAAAAAAAAAAAAAACAAAAAAUGCGCUCAGAAACUUGUUUGUUGUUUUUUGUAUGGUAACACGCGCGACAAAAUGCUCUUCAGCUGCUAGACCUCGACGGAGUUCCGGCUGGUAAAGGCCGAGAUAAAUUAGCAUGACAUGAAUCAGCAGCAGAGGCAAAAUACUGCUUUCAAUUAAACAUAAAAUGGUACCUAAGAGAUAACAGCGACAAAACAAGAACAACAACAACGAGCGCACGACUGUCAGACACUCUCUGUGGAUUGCUUGAUACGUGUGCAAACUCUUAUAACUUGCGAUAUAUGUUUACAUAAUGGAGAUAAAUAUCGAUGUGCAAAGGGAAUACGGCGAUCGAUGAUUUUGGGGCAAAGGACAAAAGCUACCGAUGAUUUGUCAUGAGCGUGCAAUAUUGCAUUGCCUGCGACAAUAAUCUGACUGAAAAGCCCGCAGGUUUUCAAAAGAUUCAAUUUUAAUUUUUAUUCGUAUACCGACUUGUUGUGCGAUGCAAAAGACGAUGAAGAAGCUGAGACUGACGCUGAGGCUCCACAGCGACGUCAGCAGCGACGCCGGCAGUGACGCCCGCUUUGGCUUGACAGG